AACUUUGCUGAUAGCCGUGUAAUGUACGUGUAAAUGUACAAGACAAUAUUAGUAAAUACAAUGUUGACAAACAGCUGUAUAUGUAUGUAUAUGCAAACACACAGUCAUCUUGAAGUAUAUAAUGCACAUUGGGAAUACUCGACUCGUACAAUAAGCUGGAAAGGCUGACUCGUAACAUUUUUUUUGCUUGCGUGUGGGCGUUUACAUUUUGCAAUGAUGACCAACAAUUAGCCACCGUAUUGUAAUUUAAGUAUAUUGACUAUCCUGUUAACAAAACACACCCAAAAAUAAAUUAAUUUAGCCAUUUAAGAUAACAUUUGCUUUAUUUGCGAAAAUGAAAUUGAAAUGCAAGGUGGUUUGUUUAAUAGGCGCAAUGGCUAUGUUUAUUAUGUGUAUUUUUUGCGUGUAACGGGGAACGGGAAAUUUAAUGUAUACGUUAGUUAAGUGAGUGAAAUUGUAAAAUAUGACAGAUAUUAAAGGAAAUUGGCGAAAUUGAUAUUAGCUAAUAAAGGAAAGUCCGUCCUGCUGCACAUUCUUUUUGUUUUAACCGAAGCCUCUAUUUAUAGGGGUACUGUCAGAGCUUGUUAAGUGGCAUCGAUAGUGGAUUAGAUCAGCAUAUUACUCAGCUAGUGCUGUAUUUACAUAAUACUACCUCGCAGUUGACUGAGAUGACUUAUUACAUAUACCAAACGGAUAAUAAACAACUAAUCGCCUACCAAUCAUUUGAGGAUGAAUCACUCAACGAAUGUUACGGUGCUUUUUUGAAUACAAUCUCAUUUUUUUAUUAAACAAAAUUAUCUUAUCAAACGAAAAUGUGCGAAAUUGAUUUGAAUAUGAAAACAAAAACAGAAAUGAACAGAAAUUGUUGGGUUUGUAGUGAGGCGAGAAAAUAUCAAAAAAAUAAAAUAAUAUUGCUAUGAAAAACCUUAUACUACGGAAACGUUUAAAACAAAGCCAGAUAAGUGACUACCGCACAAAGUAAGUUGAUUGCACGCAUUUCCUUAGAUGAAAAAAUGCAUUUAUUACAACAAUUUAUAUGAGCUAUGAGUCAAUGCUAUUAUGCAGCUUAAAUGACAUUGGGAUUUUCUGAAACAACAACAUAAAUAAUGCAACCAAAAUCAACAUUCACUUCAUGAUUUAAGAAAUUGUAAAUUCGUAAAAAAAAAUUACAAAAAUUGACAGCAUGAGCAUUUUCAAAGAAAUCAUACGUUUUACGAAAGAGUCUUACAUAAGUUUAGACUACCCGUUUUGUGAGCAGUCGAGUUCACUUAGACGAAAUGGAUCUAAAUGUUUAGAUGUCUCAAUCAGUACUAUAUUUCCAUAUUACUACUAGAAGUACAACAAAAACAGUGAUUACCAACACGGCCGGUAUAGAUAUUUCUCGAAGAGUACAACAUCACUGAAAAUCAACUUUAAGCCGAUAUCGAGAAGCACAUACAAAUUCCAUUAGACGAUAUAUUAGUCUCAGCGUCCGUCCUGCAAUCUAAUUUCGUGGAAAGGUGAUGUUUUCGCAAUCGAAAUUGUAAUUUAUAUAAAUAAUUUUAAAACCUGUCAUUACUACUGUAACUCUAAUUUGAUUUUGACUUUAAAUGGUGGUCAGGUUAAUGUGUUGAAAUUAUUAUAUUUACAUACAUACAUCUAUAAAUACAGAUAUAUAUAUUUUUUUUGACCAACUGCAACCUAAUAUACAAUCAUAUAUAGUUGUUGUAGCACACUAUCAAUGCGGGUUUGUGCACACUUGCCGCAUUUAAUUAAUUAUAAAACCAGCUACAGCAGCUUACUUAACCCUAUAAAUGUAAAUAAAUGAAUGGACGUAUCCACAUCUGACAUUCACGGCACAACGCGAUAAUAGUAAUAUGACAAUAAAAUCACUAUUGUCCAGAAAUAGUUAAGACAUACACAUGUGUGUGCAUCCGAGUGUGUGUGAAAGUAUAUGUAUCUUUCCCUUAAGUUAACCAACAAGCUCAUCCAGCUCGUCGUUGGACAAAUAGUCAAACAAUCACUCAAGUAGUCAAUCAUUUAAUGCCGUCAGCCCAACCUAACAAAGCUGAGAAAAACUAAGCGCUGCUAAGUCGUAUCAAAUAGUAAUAAAAUUAAAAUGAAAUGAAAAAAUCACGGCAAGUUGGCAACUGAUAUACGUUAAAGCUUUCUUUUGCGAUCAGUUGUUUCAAUCGUAUGUGCAUAUAUAUAUUUUUAUUGUAUGUAGGUAUUUCUUUUAUUUGCUACAAUUGUCUCGCAUUGCAAUUUCGAGUUAAUGUAGGUAAGCGCGUGCGUGCGACUAUUCGCUGUAGUUGCAGAAAAAAUGCACUUUUUGAUAGCUGAAUGAGUGCAAAUAAUUUAUUGUCGGAUGCUGUAUUCCAUACGCAUAAUAAUUGCAUAUGCGAUAUGCAGCACAUAACUAUUUACUUAACUUAUUUAUGUUAAUGUAUACAUCAUAACCGCAAUUGUUAUAAAAACCAUUUAUGUGAAUAAAUAUGUAUUUACAUUA
Molecule: long non-coding RNA, 2488 nt
Organism: Zeugodacus cucurbitae (melon fly)
Lineage: Eukaryota; Metazoa; Arthropoda; Insecta; Diptera; Tephritidae
Exons: 3
Source: RefSeq, a predicted model, not a curated record